UGGUCAUGUAUUUUGAUGACAUGAUUUGUGUUGAUGUUCUGCGUAUAAUCAGGAAAUAAGAUAUCAGGACAAGGCUAGGAGAGAAGUAUGGUGAAAAGCAUUUUUUGCUUUGUUAAUGCAGUGGGAGCGCCAUUGAAGACCAUGGGCGCAGCUUGGUCGAGCUACAAUGAGCGCAUCUGAUUCCAACACAUCAAGGGUUGCAUUGGAUAUUCACAGAACUCCAUAUCAUAUAGUUUGGGCAUAUCAUAUACAUUCCCUUCAUAGUUCAUGCAGUUUUAGGCUUUUAGCAGUAUGAAAAGUCAUAGAUAAUGUAAUGGUGACAUUUGGGAUUAUAUAAGUGUUAAUUGUCAGUCUCUGCCCCCAUGCAUUUGAAUGUUGCCUUGGUGACGAUCCUUAGGCUUGUCAAAAGUUGUGAAUCGAUAGGCAUUGACAAAAAAAGAUCUAAGCUCUAUGUUCUGAAAAACAGGUAGAGCAGCAGCUAUAGCACCCCUAGAGAGAUUGCGUUGACUGAUUCUCAUCGUAUAUAUAACUCAACUGUUUAAAGUAUUCUAUAUACACUGAAAUCGUGCUCAUAAUUUUUAAAAGUAUUCUAUAUACACUGAAAUUGAGCUCAUAAUUUUUUUAUCAUGUACCUUUUCUGCUAAAGAUCAUUACACUUCUCUUUGGUACAUCAAUGUUACUUCCAAAGCAAAGUCCCUCCUAGAGGACAGUUUCUUUUGUCAGAAGGGUGAGUGUGUUGUAUAUUUUAUUGUCCACUAAAUCAACUACUUCUGGUUACAUAUUGUGACAAAAUUAAGUAGGCAUAGGCUUCUUCAUUGAUUCUUAUACCGAAACUGAAUUUGUAUUGUGUUAAUACAUUAUAGUCAUCCUUGAAGGACUUGUGUUUUAUUGCCAUGCAUGCCUAAUGAUUGCUUGCUGAAGCAUUGGUCCUAAU
Triticum aestivum (bread wheat) is the source of this 934-nucleotide long non-coding RNA. RefSeq lists it as uncharacterized. Lineage: Eukaryota; Viridiplantae; Streptophyta; Magnoliopsida; Poales; Poaceae. The transcript is spliced from 3 exons. The record is from RefSeq and is a predicted model, not a curated record.